Molecule: ribosomal RNA, 144 nt
Filed under: uncultured bacterium
Lineage: Bacteria
Description: partial 16S rRNA
Rfam family: Bacterial small subunit ribosomal RNA
Source: RNAcentral
GUAGGGGUAAUUUUCCGCAAUGGGCGAAAGCCUGACGGAGCAAUGCCGCGUGGAGGUGGAAGGCCUACGGGUCGUCAACUUCUUUUCUCGGAGAAGAAACAAUGACGGUAUCUGAGGAAUAAGCAUCGGCUAACUCUGUGCCAG